UGAAACUUAGAAGAACUUAAUGUUCUAUAUGUAAAUCAGCCAUGUUUGAACACGAUGUUCAAACAAAGUCGCCAGUGAGCCAUGGACGGCGAAUUGGCGACGGUGGCGUUCGAUGAGAAAAUGUUAAUUAGAACAUUUAGUUCUUCUUAGUUU
RNAcentral lists this non-coding RNA (153 nucleotides) under bovine gut metagenome. The record is from RNAcentral.